RNAcentral lists this ribosomal RNA (492 nucleotides) under uncultured bacterium. RNAcentral describes it as "partial 16S ribosomal RNA". It matches the Rfam family "Bacterial small subunit ribosomal RNA", at positions 29 to 507 of the family's 1533-position model. The record is from RNAcentral.
AGUGAACGCUGGCGGUAGGCCUAACACAUGCAAGUCGAACGGCAGCACAGUAAGAGCUUGCUCCUACGGGUGGCGAGUGGCGGACGGGUGAGGAAUACAUCGGAAUCUACUUUUUCGUGGGGGAUAACGUAGGGAAACUUACGCUAAUACCGCAUACGACCUACGGGUGAAAGCAGGGGAUCUUCGGACCUUGCGCGAUUGAAUGAGCCGAUGUCGGAUUAGCUAGUUGGCGGGGUAAAGGCCCACCAAGGCGACGAUCCGUAGCUGGUCUGAGAGGAUGAUCAGCCACACUGGAACUGAGACACGGUCCAGACGCCUACGGGAGGCAGCAGUGGGGAAUAUUGGACAAUGGGCGCAAGCCUGAUCCAGCCAUACCGCGUGGGUGAAGAAGGCCUUCGGGUUGUAAAGCCCUUUUGUUGGGAAAGAAAAGCAGCAGGUUAAUACCCCGCUGUUCUGACGGUACCCAAAGAAUAAGCACCGGCUAACUUCGUG